GCUGAACUGCCAAGUGCUUUUUUUUUCCUUCUGCCAACAACUUCUAAAGAAGAAUCAUGCAAGUAAUGUGACCUAAUUUGGUGUUCUAGAAAAGAAGGAUGUAAAUUCAUCUAGAAGGAGCUGGAUUAAUCCUGCUAGAGCUCAUUUUACAUUGCUCGCCUUAAGCUGAAAUCGAACUCUGGUACGAAAAAAGCAAGUGCUCUAACCACUCUUCUGUUUGUGAAAGGUGUGGUGGCAGAAGUAUUCCUUUUUUUAAGUUGUAAGACUUAUCUGAGUUGCAGAAAAGGUCUGUGUUGCAUACUUGGUACUUUUAUUAUUUGUUCUUCAGUCAGUACAUCUACCAACAAGUAGCCUGUGGAACACCAAAAAUGCUUGAGCAAAUCAUCUUGCUUAUACAGACUCUUUGUUGAUAAAAAUUAUGCCCAAAUUCUCUUAUUUUGCCAAAACAAAGACUCCAUGUAGUUUAGUACCACUUCUGUAAAACUGAUGCUGAUUUCUAAGACAAUAACUAAGCUUUUUGCCUUUCAUUUUUUGAAUCUGUAUGUUUUCAAUCCUCAGUGGACUACAUACAUACAAACUUUUCAGUGUAAUAACCAAUUGGUCUUUGAUUCUAAAAAGAACAAGCAAGCUUUAGUGGUGAGGUUUGGGGAAAUCAGAGUGGCAGGAAUGGCACAGGAAAACUAUUAAUUCUACUUAAAAUUGUACUGAAGCCUGACCCUUGUGAAUGCUGAAUUGGCCCACCAAACUGAAUCUUUGCCUACAGGGUUUUUGAUACAACAUCUAUUAUUCCCAUUUUUCUUAUCUAUUACCAAGGAAAUAGUGCUAACAGCAGAUUUUUAGCUGUCUGUGUAUAAAAACAGAAUAUAGAGAGGGAAUGACCUAAACUGUACUUUCCGUUUGAUCCGUACUUGGCAACCAUACAGAACAGUAGCAUGGAGACUGCAAUUUAUGGAGUAAAGCCACUUGAGAAAUCCUGUUUGGGUCAUGAGAAGCUAUUUGAGAUUAAGAGGAAAAUGACUCAAUAGGCAUGAGGUUUUCUAUUUGUAUACGUAGUGCAGCAGUCCUUGGAAGAGUGACAGUAUUUAAUGCCUUGAAAAUGUUGCAGGAAAUUGUAUGUGUGGCUUGUAUUGAAUAAAUGGUUCUUCCCAUCAAGAGAAAUGAGGAGCAAAUACCAUUGUUUAACUUCUUUAACCUGCUCAUGGUGACCAGUAUAAAAUGCAGUUGCCCUUUGCAGAAUCCAGACUGAGGUUAUUACAAGAAAAAAAAUAAUUUUAGAGAGUCUCGAUUUGUCAAAGCCAUCACGAACUGACCUUCAGUCUUCAGCUGUAGGAUCUGUGUCCAUUUGCUUACAUGGUGACUGAUGACAAACAGGAGGAGAAGAAUGCAGACAGUUGAAAGCCAGGUUUACAGACCUUGUCCUGACCAGACUGCUUUUACCCUGUUGCAAUUCCAGAAAUUUCACUUUUAGUAGAUGUCACUGCCUGGAGAAGAAAGAAUUGCAUCUGAGCUCUUUCUUUUGCAAUAGCUCACUCUGGAUAACAGAUUCUAAGUUAAUGAAGCACACCUGAAAGAUGUUGUUUUCUCAUUUCCCAUUGUAUGAGAUAAGUGAAGCUACAGAAGGAGAUUAUGGAGAGGGGAUAUAAUGUAAGGGAGGAAAUUGUGAAUAAAGUUGUGUUUUAACCAA
Molecule: long non-coding RNA, 1684 nt
Filed under: Strigops habroptila (Kakapo)
Lineage: Eukaryota; Metazoa; Chordata; Aves; Psittaciformes; Psittacidae
Description: lncRNA (ENSSHBG00005015112.1)
Source: RNAcentral